GAUAAACGCUGGCGGCGUGCAUGAGACAUGCAAGUCGAACGGGCGACUCGGGCUUGCUCGAGUCGCUAGUGGCGGACGGCUGAGUAACGCGUAGGUGACCUGCCCCGAAGUGGGGAAUAACUGCCCGAAAGGGUGGCUAAUACCGCAUGUGGUGAUGCGUUCAUUCGCAUCAGUAAAGCCGCAAGGCGCUUCGGGAGGGGCCUGCGUCCGAUUAGCUCGUUGGUGGGGUAACGGCUCACCAAGGCGACGA
This 250-nucleotide ribosomal RNA is filed under the name uncultured bacterium. RNAcentral describes it as "partial 16S ribosomal RNA". It matches the Rfam family "Bacterial small subunit ribosomal RNA", at positions 28 to 279 of the family's 1533-position model. The record is from RNAcentral.